CAGCAAUUUAGAUGUAAUGGAAAUUGUCAGAAAUUUUAAUUUCUCUCUGUUUAGCUCACUCACAAUGGCUGUCAAACAGUCAAGUGAUAUGACGUAAAGUACCGCUAAUCGUUUCAGCACAAGACAGUACUUCAAAGGUAAGGCAAAGGAUGUGCAGACACUAAUGAAAUUUUAUUAUCAGAACAUAGAAUUAGAAUUGUGACAAGAGACAAUGGUGGCAGUGACAUGCAGCUAGAAUGUUAAGCUUCUGAAAUCUCUGAGCUGAGUCUCACAGACAAAAAUAGCUAGAGCUGCAGACUUCUUAAUAGUCUUAAAUGGAAAUUGAAUGGGCUCAAUUAAUCAAGUGAACAAACUAUAGGGAAUUACAGAAAAGGCUCGUUCUGUGUUUUCAGGCUAUUAACCUGCAUGGCCAUUAUGUCCUGGUAUAAUGUUGUGGUUUGCAAUCCAUGUGUUGCUUCUCUGAGUAUAUGUUUCUGUAUUUGCAGAGAAACGUGUAAAGCUCAUGAGCCACCACGACAUGCAGAUCUGAAGGGACUUCAGCUGGCAAUAGGCAAUGUCGGGAUUCUUUCAAGGUUGAAUCUGUCUGAACAGGACAAGGAGAAGAAGACAAGAGUAGCGUCUCUCGAACACAACUAUCAGUGCCUUUUCUUCCAGGUUUGUUUUGUUUGUAUUUAGUAUUAUAUUUAUUUUUCUCCUAGAACUGCAGCUUCAGAUUUGCUGAGACCCUAAAGGAAUAAUAUACAGCAGUGAACAUCAUGUUUCUAAAAUAUGCAGUGGUUUAACUGAAUGAGAAAUUGUUUGGAUGAUGGCA
RNAcentral lists this long non-coding RNA (811 nucleotides) under Coturnix japonica (Japanese quail). Its description in RNAcentral is "lncRNA (ENSCJPG00005015371.1)". Lineage: Eukaryota; Metazoa; Chordata; Aves; Galliformes; Phasianidae. The record is from RNAcentral.